This 203-nucleotide long non-coding RNA is filed under the name Lupinus angustifolius (narrow-leaved blue lupine). Its description in RNAcentral is "long non-coding RNA (LANG_LNC000215)". Lineage: Eukaryota; Viridiplantae; Streptophyta; Magnoliopsida; Fabales; Fabaceae. The record is from RNAcentral.
AAAAAUCGCUUGAAUUGUCGUUCAUGACAUUUUUUUGUUUGUACAUCCGGGUGAGGGACAAGUUAUGGUGGUUUCUCAGUUAGCUCACAUGUUCCCUUGUCUAUCAUUCCCUUACCAUUUUCUUUUGAACCACUUAAUUCAGGGUUUCCUAAGGAAGUAUUAGGCUCAUUGGUUUUUUCUAAUUCAACCAUCUAGUAUUUUCC